Molecule: unclassified non-coding RNA, 231 nt
Filed under: Sistotrema coronilla
Lineage: Eukaryota; Fungi; Basidiomycota; Agaricomycetes; Cantharellales; Hydnaceae
Description: partial internal transcribed spacer region
Rfam family: Eukaryotic small subunit ribosomal RNA (bases 1-47)
Source: RNAcentral
AAAGUCGUAACAAGGUUUCCGUAGGUGAACCUGCGGAAGGAUCAUUAAUGAAUUUGGAGAAUUGAUGCUGGCCUUUGUGCAUGUGCUCGUUCUCUUUAAUCCAUACACACCUGUGCACAUACACGGUGGUGGGGCUUGAUUGCCUCGCCGCUGCUUCACACACGUCUUAACAGUCUUGUAUGUUUUAUAUCAUAUUAUACACAACUUUCAACAACGGAUCUCUUGGCUCCA